Molecule: transfer RNA, 77 nt
Filed under: Clostridiales bacterium
Lineage: Bacteria; Bacillati; Bacillota; Clostridia; Eubacteriales
Description: tRNA-Met
Rfam family: tRNA
About the family: Transfer RNA (tRNA) molecules are approximately 80 nucleotides in length.
Source: RNAcentral
GGCGGCGUAGCUCAGUUGGCUAGAGCAUUCGGUUCAUACCCGAAGAGUCAGCGGUUCAAAUCCGUUCGCCGCGACCA